Molecule: long non-coding RNA, 1866 nt
Filed under: Marmota monax (woodchuck)
Lineage: Eukaryota; Metazoa; Chordata; Mammalia; Rodentia; Sciuridae
Source: RNAcentral
CGAGGAACCGAGGUCCUGCACCUGGGAGGGAUCCUGGAUAGACACCCGCAGGGGCCCUCCUCUCAGGCAGCCAAAGGGCGUGACUUUCCCACUCAGGACUGGCUUUAAAGAAUAAUGAGCGACAGCAACUGAAGUCCCCCUGCUAAGAUCAUCUCCCAGGACCAACGGGACUUAAGGGGAAGGGGGUGCUGGACAGAGAUUCAGGUCUGAGCUCCGUUUGUUUGUUUCACUAGGAAUCAUGGGAGGAGCGGGUGGAGGCUGGCUGUAAAGUCUUGGGUAUCUUUCCCCAGGGAAGGAGCGGGCAGUUGUGAAGGGCGUGCUCCCUGCCAGUCAUUUCGCCACCGACUGUAAACGUGGUGCUGUGAUACCCCAUCUACAGACGAGGACAUCAAGGUUUGGAGGGGCAAUGGACCCAAACCGAGGGCAGAGCCCCGUUCCAGCCCAGAUCGGAAUGCUUCUCCCCCCUCCCCCCACCCCCCACCCCCCACCAUAUGCUGUCACCCUGGUGAGCUGAAAAGAUCGGGGUACCUCAGAGGAAGAAGGAUGAAUGCAAAUUAGGUGUGAUCCUUCUCUGGUUGCAAAUGACACUAAAGCCAAGAAGCCAAGGCACAUAAAGCCAUCAAAGGAGCCUGAACAAAUCCUCCCCCAAGACUGUGCCAGAUCCCAGGUGCAGGCCACCUGCAGGAUCUCCCGCAUUUUGCAAGAGCGUCACUCAUCGCUGCCUGUUUGAUGUGGUUUAGGUUUUAUACAAGGAGGGGGAGUCGCUGUAAAUUCCUGGGAGUCAGUGGCCUGGAUUAGGAACAAGUGCCGCUCCUAGAAUAUUAACAAGCCGUGGGAGUUGCCCCACGCCAAGUCAUGAGAAGGGACAGGUGAGCCGUAGACACGGCUGCUUAGACAGCUCCAGGUCUGCGCUCUGAUUCGGGCUCAGCGCAUUCUGAACUCUGGCUUUCCCAUCCACCAAAUGGGGAUGUGUCGGGUGUCUGUCCCCUAGGCUGCUAGGAUGCCCCGGGGUGCGUUCACAUCUCUGUCCUGACAUCAGGGACUAACUGCUUCACCAUUGUGCCCAAACUCCUGGCACUCAGGAGUGAAAUCAUGGAUGAAUGAAUAAAUGAAUGAAUGCAUGGAGAACACCAGUCUUCUGGAGCUGGCUGGAGCUCCAAGAAUAGACUGUUAUAGUUUUGGGAAUUCUGUGAGCCCACUGUUACAUUAUAGGUGCCUUGAACUUGACCUUGCAGGAGUAUUUACAGUACGGAAAUUGGCAAAUCCUACCCACCAGGACUUCCUUUCCUCCUGCCUUCUCAGAGAGCAAGCAGAACACUGGCUAGCAUCCGGGCAGGCCCUGUGUGCAGCAUUCUGCAAAUAGGAAUCCCCGCAGCCACUCGGUGAGGAAGGCGCAGGUGGGAAUGUCCUUUCACAGGUGGGAAAGCUGAGGCCCUGGGAGGUUACGGCACUUGCCCAAGAAUGGUUCUGUGGCAGAGAAGAAGGAAGACCGCCCUCGCUGUCCUCUUCUUGGUGGCCACUGUGGUGUCACAGGAACCAGCCACGUGAAUCCUGCUGGUGCAGGAAAGAGCGUUAUAUAUUUUCAGCCACUGCUUUAAUCAGCUCCUGCAGGAGGGUGGUCCUCCGGGAGAAGAGAGGCAGUUGCCUGGUGACUAAAGUGCCUCCCCGUCCUGGAAGGUCACCCUGUGUUAAGGGAGGGUGCCGCUCACCCCCUGAGGCGGGCCUCCCCCAGGGGCUCCGGGCCCCCAGUCCAAUCAGCCCGCAGCUGCCUCCUGCCUCCUAGAGCAACUGACCUCGCUGGGUCUUGCUGUUGACAAGACAUCAGGGUCGCGGGUAGGACUGAAUGACAGCGCCAUGUUCUAGAAC